GCCAUUGUCCCCUCCGGGAGAAGUGGUUUGGCACUCAAUACAACGUGGAGGACGUCCAGCAGGAGUGGAUGGAUCGGUGGACCGGAAACCUGGAGCUCAGCAGUGAACUCUCACUUCCUGUCGAAAACAAGUUCAUUGCCACUGACUUCACCCUGAAGCCGUCUGACCGCCCAGACACUGAGUUUCCUGUCCGGAUAGCCGAGAGCGACAGGGGCUGCCUGUGGUACAAGAAGGACGACAAAUUCAAAAUUCCUAAAGGUGUGUGUGUGUGUGUGUGUGUGUGUGUGU
This is a long non-coding RNA of Notothenia coriiceps (black rockcod), 288 nucleotides long. RefSeq lists it as uncharacterized. The transcript has 3 exons. The record is from RefSeq and is a predicted model, not a curated record. Lineage: Eukaryota; Metazoa; Chordata; Actinopteri; Perciformes; Nototheniidae.